UGCUAAGCUAAUUUAUCAAGCAGUGUUAGUAUUUUCUGGCAAAUAAUUUUCAAAUAAAUAAGUAGUUAGAAAUUUCCUAAAUUCCAAAAAUGAAUACCACUCAGAAUAAUCGCAAGCGGCCAUGUACUGUUAUGAGAAAAGAAGAGUCCAAGAGGCUCAAAAAUGCUUGUACGAUUGAUAACGCGGAAGUUGAGAGGGUUCCUUCUGUCACGAUAUUGGCUUUAUCUCCAUCCAUCGAUGGUUAUCCACUGAAAAUAUCCAAUUCGGAGCCAUAUUUACUUCUAUUGCGAUUGAAAAAGGACGCUUCACAAGAAUAUACUUUUACCCGUGAACUAAGCAUAUAAAGACUAAUUACGUCCCAUCUACCAUCCUGCUUCGUUGUCGAAAGGUCAAACCACAUUACGAUGCACAAUGUAAAAUCAUCAUACACAAUCCAAGGGCGACGACGGAAGUCGAACGAAGUACCGUGUACGUGACACACGAACUCCUAGUUGAAAUUAGUUGAAUAAUCAAGGAUCCUUCGUACUCCAUAAAUUACCUGAAUCUGCUGUAAAACAACUGCUUUGUAUCACUUUUGUCAAAUAACAUUUUUUAACAUAUAACGUUAGAAUAAAUAUUUGCGUUUUU
This is a long non-coding RNA of Cimex lectularius (bed bug), 627 nucleotides long. RefSeq lists it as uncharacterized. The transcript has 3 exons. Lineage: Eukaryota; Metazoa; Arthropoda; Insecta; Hemiptera; Cimicidae. The record is from RefSeq and is a predicted model, not a curated record.